CCUACGGGUGACAGCAGUGGGGGAUAUUGGUCAAUGGAGGAAACUCUGAACCAGCAACGCCGCGUGAGUGAUGACGGCCUUCGGGUUGUAAAGCUCUUUUCUCAGGGAUGAAGCAAGUGACGGUACCUUAAAAACAAGCCUCGGCUAACUACGUGCCAGCAGCCGCGGUAAUACGUAGGAGGCAAGCGUUAUCCGGAAUGACUGGGCGUAAAGGGUGCGUAGGCGGUUUCACAAGUCAGGAGCGAAAUACCGGGGCUCAACCCCGGCGCUACGACCGAAACUGUGGGACUUGAGUGAAGGAGGGGCAAGUGGAAUUCCUAGUGUAGCGGUGGAAUGCGCAGAUAUUAGGAGGAACACCAGUGGCGAAGGCGAAUUGCUGGGCUGUAACUGACGCUGAUGCACGAAAGCAUGGGGAGCAAACAGGAUUAGAUACCCGAGUAGUC
RNAcentral lists this ribosomal RNA (443 nucleotides) under uncultured bacterium. RNAcentral describes it as "partial 16S ribosomal RNA". It matches the Rfam family "Bacterial small subunit ribosomal RNA", at positions 338 to 795 of the family's 1533-position model. The record is from RNAcentral.